GGGACCGGGGGAGGAGCGGCCGCCGCCGCCCGCGGCGUCGCCCCCGCCGUGCUCCCCGCGGGAGGGGGAGGCAGCGAGGGUGCUCCGCGGGAGGCGCUCCCCGCCCGGCCCGGCACGGCUCGGCACGGCUAGGCCCUUGGUAAAAUGAAGAGGAUGCACAAGAAGUUUCCGCAAAACUCUUGGCAUAUGAAGUUAUUUUGGAAAUAGAAGUUAUUCUGGAAGUUAUUUUGGGCCUUCAAAGUGCAGUUCACUGACCCUCCACUAACACUUUUUAAUCCAGAAAAUAGCACCCAAACAAAAACAAAACACACAUUAAAUGACUAUUUAGUGAAGCAAUGUGUCACUCAGCCGCACCAUUGCCAGCUGUGAUCUCAUUAAAGCUCACAAGUAGAGUAAGGCUUGGCCUGAUCAGUAAUUGGAAAGGACAUCUCACAGGAAAAUAUUUCAAGAUGUUGCGAAGUUUGAUUUUGGUGAUUCAGUAGAUGGCACUUUUCAUUUUGAAAAAAAAUAAAAAUAAAAAAAAUAAUCCUAUAACUCAGUAUUACAAAUACAGUGAACUCAGCACCCACACAAAAGCAGUUAUCUGAUCAUGUUGUUUUAUUUAUGCUGUUUAUUUUAAUGUGUGGAGUCACAAAAAGAGUUGGAAACUAUGCAGAAAAUCACAAGUAAUUGUAAAAAGCACAUGAAUCACAUAAAUCAUUUUUCAAGAUAAUCAGCCAGACAAGAUAAUCAGCCAGACCAAUCAUAUGAGAAGUCCAGAAAUGUAAUUACUUUAAAUGUAGUCACUUUCCUCAAAAAAAAAAAAAAAAAAAAAAAAAAAAAAAAAAAAAAAACACAGAGAGAGAGAGAAAAGGGGAAAAAAAAAAAAAGAAAAAAAAAAAAAACAGACACCCCCAAGUGUUUAACCAUCUAGAAGAAUCAGAUAAACUACCUGAAGCAGAUAAACUUUCAUACUUAUUUGUAUAGAAGAAUACAAACCAAAUGAGCACUUUGCAAAUUAUAUAUGGAGAACUACAUAUAUAUACAUAUGUAUGUGUAUAUGUAUAUGUAGAACUAUCUAUGUAUCAAACUUUCCCCAACUCAUCAGUGUUUCAGAUUAAUUAAAAAUUAAUUUUCUGUUGCCUGUUGAA
Non-coding RNA from Anas platyrhynchos (mallard), 1130 nucleotides. The record is from RefSeq and is a predicted model, not a curated record. NCBI's taxonomy places the organism in Eukaryota, Metazoa, Chordata, Aves, Anseriformes, Anatidae.